Molecule: ribosomal RNA, 494 nt
Filed under: uncultured bacterium
Lineage: Bacteria
Description: bacterial SSU rRNA
Rfam family: Bacterial small subunit ribosomal RNA
Source: RNAcentral
GAUGAACGCUAGCGGCAGGCCUAAUACAUGCAAGUCAAGGGGAUAGCAAUAUCACCGGCGGACGGGUGCGUAACGCGUACACAACGUGCCCAAGGGCGGAGGAAAGCGGCGGGAAACUGCCGGUAAUACUCCAUGGUGUUGUUGAGUGGCAUCACUUAACAACUAAAGUACAAGCGCCCUUGGAUCGGUGUGCGUUCGAUUAGCUAGUUGGCGGGGUAACGGCCCACCAAGGCUUCGAUCGAUAGGGGGUGUGAGAGCAUGACCCCCCACACGGGUACUGAGACACGGACCCGACUCCUACGGGAGGCAGCAGUAAGGAAUAUUGGACAAUGGGCGGGAAGCCUGAUCCAGCCAUGCCGCGUGAAGGACGAAGGCGCUCAGCGUUGUAAACUUCUUUUGGAUGGGAACAAUAACUCCGACUUGUCGGAACUUGAGGGUACCAUCAGAAUAAGCACCGGCUAACUCCGUGCCAGCAGCCGCGGUAAAGUCGUACG